UACGAAGGGGGCUAGCGUUGCUCGGAAUCACUGGGCGUAAAGCGCACGUAGGCGGCUUUCUAAGUCAGGGGUGAAAUCCUGGAGCUCAACUCCAGAACUGCCUUUGAUACUGGCAAUCUUGAGUCCGGAAGAGGUGAGUGGAACUCCUAGUGUAGAGGUGGAAUUCGUAGAUAUUAGGAAGAACACCAGUGGCGAAGGCGGCUCACUGGUCCGGUACUGACGCUGAGGUGCGAAAGCGUGGGGAGCAAACAGG
This 253-nucleotide ribosomal RNA is filed under the name uncultured bacterium. RNAcentral's name for it is "partial 16S ribosomal RNA". It matches the Rfam family "Bacterial small subunit ribosomal RNA", at positions 524 to 776 of the family's 1533-position model. The record is from RNAcentral.